UGUUCGUAAGUUAGGAGCACCAUUAAUUACUGGGCAUGGAGAGGAGGAGGAGCCCAUUUGAAUUAUAAUGCUGCAUGGACUUGUCAUUUUCUUGCAUAUUAUAUUUUGCUUGUAUUAUUAUAUUGCACGUGUGCCCAAGCAAUUGCGGUAUAUCUAGGUUUCAUUCUACAUUUUUUCACAUUAUGUCCCUUUAUUUUUCCGCUGGAAACAAAAAGAAAAAAGACAGAAAUGUUGCUUCAAAAGUAAAUGGAUGUUUCAGCGGCUGUAAGAACAAAGAUGACAGAAAGAAGUUUUUUUACAGUUCUUUGCCUUUUCCCCUCCAUACAACCCUAUAAUGAGCAAAAAAGGAGUUAAAGCAGCAAUCUGGAAGAUAUAAUAAUGAAGCUGACAGAAUGAUAUAAUUUGCCUGCAGCUUUAGGUGUACUGGUUGGCCUGGAGGAAGAACAAGCAGAGUUCGGACUGAAUAUCACGUCAUUGGACUGUUUGAUCUUUUUUGAUGCCUAAGCAAGACAAAGAAGACCAAGUAACUACCACGUAAUCGGCAUAUAAGAGUGGCCGGAUGUUUAUGAUGUAUUGGUCUAGUGAGCUUAAGACGACGGCUAAAAACAAAGAAGAAGAAAAAAUAUAAAGGAAAAAGGCCUAAAAGUGAGCUUUGGGAUAGCCUUUUUGUGAAUUGUGUGUACAUAGCAAAUUUAUUAUCAGUUUGGAUUUACAGGGUUCAUGGUCAUAUUCAGACAUACAUCGUUUGAAAUAUGUCACAUACUUUUUUAAAAAUAAUUGAAUUAUUGUGUAAUAAGAUCUAGAAGAAUGUAAGUUUCUCAACUGGCAUGUGUGCCAUGGUCUAUGAUUAUAUAUUUGUUUAAACGGAUUUUUUCCCAAAAUA
Molecule: long non-coding RNA, 883 nt
Organism: Protopterus annectens (West African lungfish)
Lineage: Eukaryota; Metazoa; Chordata; Ceratodontiformes; Protopteridae
Exons: 4
Source: RefSeq, a predicted model, not a curated record